UACGUAGGUGGCGAGCGUUAUCCGGAUUUAUUGGGUUUAAAGGGUGCGUAGGUGGUUAUGUAAGUCAGCGGUUAAAUCAGGCAGCUUAACUGUCAUAAUGCCGCUGAUACUGCGUAGCUAGAGUGCAGAUGAGGUAGGCGGAAUGGAUGGUGUAGCGGUGAAAUGCUUAGAUAUCAUCCAGAACACCGAUUGCGAAGGCAGCUUACUGGGCUGUUACUGACACUGAGGCACGAAAGUAUGGGGAUCAAACAGG
Molecule: ribosomal RNA, 253 nt
Filed under: uncultured bacterium
Lineage: Bacteria
Description: partial 16S ribosomal RNA
Rfam family: Bacterial small subunit ribosomal RNA
Source: RNAcentral